GAUUAAGUUAUUAAGGGCGCACGGUGGAUGCCUUGGCACUAGAAGCCAAUGAAGGACGUUACUAACGACGAUAUGCUUUGGGGAGCUGUAAGUAAGCUUUGAUCCAGAGAUUUCCGAAUGGGGAAACCCAGCAUGAGUUAUGUCAUGUUAUCGAUAUGUGAAUACAUAGCAUAUCAGAAGGCACACCCGGAGAA
This 194-nucleotide ribosomal RNA is filed under the name Staphylococcus aureus. RNAcentral's name for it is "partial 23S ribosomal RNA". It matches the Rfam family "Bacterial large subunit ribosomal RNA", at positions 1 to 192 of the family's 2925-position model. Lineage: Bacteria; Bacillati; Bacillota; Bacilli; Caryophanales; Staphylococcaceae. The record is from RNAcentral.